UAUUCGAGAGUCAAAGCAGCAAAGCAGAAUAUACGUAGUGACAACAAAUCGAUCGAAUAUCUUAUAGAACGCGUUGACAAAUUUUUAUUAUUAGAUCGCGAAUAUUUAUGCAUUUAUGGAAGAUUUAAAGAUGCAAAUCUUUCGCGUAGUAUCAAACAAUCUAUAAAAUAUAUUAUAUACCCAUAAAAUAUACUGACAAAAUAUGGCUGUUACGUUCGGGACAUUGCGCGUAUAUGGGAAACUGGUGUCGAAAUUCCUGUAUACUAUACGAGACUGGUUCCAUCGGAAGUCCGAGUUACCUGCGACAACAGACGGGUGGCUUGCGUAAGGCAGAAAAGGAUUUCGCGCUGGUUCGCAUCAACGCGAGUCGCGUAAUCGCAAUUAAUGCGACGCUCGCGGUAAUGGUCGUUCUCAUUAUCAUCGCGGUGUGUAUUGGAUAAUGCUCGAGCGUAUUCGAUGAUCCGGCGUGGACGUGAGAUCCGUGUAAACAGCCAGUGUUAAUUUUCGGUCUUCCAGAAUGGUGAAGGGAGAGAGGAGAUCGGUGCAUAUGUACAUUUGAAAUAUGAAGCGGGACGGUAGGCGGGACAAUCGAUGACGGUACUAUAAUUAAAGUAUCCUUCGAUAUUUCGCUCGAGAACGGACCAGAGUAACAUCACGUGUCGUCGAUGUCAAGGCGUCUUCGUCGAGCAGUGAACGGAACGAGGCGAUGUACACUACCGCUUCAAAGUAUCCGGAUACUUGCACGUUUCUACAAGAUAUAAUAAUAUGCAUAUUUAAUAGCUAAGUGGCCAUGUGUGUAUUGGCAAGCGCAUACUCUUAUUUUUCAAAGAAGCGUCGUUUUAUCACGUCGAAAAUACUGUCAAAUGAUAUACGAAGCUUGAUAAUACACUUGCGCUUAAUUAAAUACUAUAUAAACGUUAUAAGAAAUACAAUGGUGUGGAAAUAUGUUUGGUAGUCAGCGUAUAGACCAAGUGACUCCGUAGGAAACGUAAUAAGUACGGUAUUGUUUCUAUCGAUUAUUUCCUCGUUAACUGCUCGAUAAAAUUUAUGUACUGUUACUACGGACCAAAGUGUUGGAUACUUAUGAGCCAUAGUGUACGAAGGCAGAGGGGGAAAGAGCGAGACGGAACAACAGAGAGGAAGUUUAUAGUGCACAGCAAGAUAAAAACGAAGCGACCGUGAACGUGUACGAGGAAUUGCCGCGAGCGUCGCUUCUAAUAGCUUUGUGUUGGCCGUUUCAUUCGCAGAUCGCGCGAAAGCUGCGCUCUUAACAUUGGCCUGAUGGCAGACGGAUUCACCUAACGUUAAUUUAGAAUCUAGAUGAAAUUCGGCAGGUAUUCAAGAAACUCGACAUCGUUAUUUAGAACAAUGUAAGAACGAAUAACCGCGAGUCAUCGGCCGGCGUAUGUCGCGUGUAUGCGCGAACGUAACGACACGCGGUCGCCGUAAUACGAGAACGUAGAACGAGGUUGUCUCUUGGCAAAUCCUUAAUUAAUAAAAACGCUGCAUAUCGAAGAAAACAAUCGUGAACAAGCAUGAACGAUCGUGCUUGUUGUCGGUCUACGUGUUGUUAUAAAUAACCGUAACGUUCGAGGCAAAUUAUUAAUUAUAACACGUUAGCCAGUACACGAGCGGACGAGCAUGGCUAUCACGGUGCAAGGUUCAAGGGAAACCGCAUUCUUCGAACGGCAAAGGCGAAAAAACCUAUUAGUAAAUGAUAUACACGCACGUCCCGUUUCGUUUUGUUUCGUUUCGCAGGUUCUAGGCUAGUCGUUCGCGAAGAGAAAAGACCGGGGAACGCAGAAACAGAAAACUAAGAAAUGAAACGAAACGGUGACGAUAGGACCUCGUGCAAUGACACUUAUAUAACGCGAGUAAAAAUUGGCUACUAGCAUCGUGUAAUACCAUUUGCAACACAUCAAUGAGAGUGAAAUGUUUGUGAAUUCGUUAAGGAACGAGUAGUGAAAUACAUAAUGUGUGAAAGAAAAA
Molecule: long non-coding RNA, 1989 nt
Organism: Bombus impatiens (common eastern bumble bee)
Lineage: Eukaryota; Metazoa; Arthropoda; Insecta; Hymenoptera; Apidae
Exons: 2
Source: RefSeq, a predicted model, not a curated record